CCAAUUUCUCUGAACUUGAAGAAUAGGAGAUGAGGAUUAUAGGCCUGCGAUUUGGGGCCAACCGGUUAUCGACUAAAACCAAAAUCCCCAAGUGUAUUCGACCAAAAACAAAAUCCCUAAACCUAGUUCUUCACAAGUGCUAGCCACUUUACCUCUAACAGAUUAGUAGCAAGAGGGGAAAAUGCACUACCAUGCUCCUAAUUUGUCCAAUACAAGUAGUGAAGAAAAAAAAAACAGUGUCACCACCAAGGACAACCAAUGUGAUUGAAAGGGGAAAUUGCUCGCUCUUGAGAGCUUUCGAGCGAUGAUCAUAUGAAGCAUGGUAAGUCUCGGAUAAUCGGUUAGCUGCGUGCCUAAUCCAACUAUGUGGGGGUGCCUCUGCCUAAGCCACGGAGAAGCGGGAAAAUAGUUUAAUGCCUACCUGCACAACAUUGUAUAAAAUCCGAAUGAAUAGCAUUAGUGAAAUUUUGAACAUUUUCUUUUAAUAUUUGUGAACAUGGACCGUCAAAGAAAAUGUAUGCUCUUUCUAACUUUAUAAA
This is an RNA transcript of Prunus avium (sweet cherry), 539 nucleotides long. It is a transcript of the gene named pentatricopeptide repeat-containing protein At1g06143-like, with no coding region annotated. The record is from RefSeq and is a predicted model, not a curated record. NCBI's taxonomy places the organism in Eukaryota, Viridiplantae, Streptophyta, Magnoliopsida, Rosales, Rosaceae.